AGCUCAGCGCCAGCCUUUCUCUUAGCUGCACUCUGGUCUCCCCUCAGA
RNAcentral lists this microRNA precursor (48 nucleotides) under Mus pahari (shrew mouse). RNAcentral describes it as "miRNA (MGP_PahariEiJ_G0007712.1)". The record is from RNAcentral. Lineage: Eukaryota; Metazoa; Chordata; Mammalia; Rodentia; Muridae.